This 856-nucleotide ribosomal RNA is filed under the name Penicillium sp. JM-2008. RNAcentral's name for it is "eukaryotic LSU rRNA". It matches the Rfam family "Eukaryotic large subunit ribosomal RNA", at positions 39 to 911 of the family's 3401-position model. Lineage: Eukaryota; Fungi; Ascomycota; Eurotiomycetes; Eurotiales; Aspergillaceae. The record is from RNAcentral.
CAUAUCAAUAAGCGGAGGAAAAGAAACCAACAGGGAUUGCCCCAGUAACGGCGAGUGAAGCGGCAAGAGCUCAAAUUUGAAAGCUGGCUCCUUCGGGGUCCGCAUUGUAAUUUGCAGAGGAUGCUUCGGGAGCGGUCCCCAUCUAAGUGCCCUGGAACGGGACGUCAUAGAGGGUGAGAAUCCCGUAUGGGAUGGGGUGUCCGCGCCCAUGUGAAGCUCCUUCGACGAGUCGAGUUGUUUGGGAAUGCAGCUCUAAAUGGGUGGUAAAUUUCAUCUAAAGCUAAAUAUUGGCCGGAGACCGAUAGCGCACAAGUAGAGUGAUCGAAAGAUGAAAAGCACUUUGAAAAGAGAGUUAAAAAGCACGUGAAAUUGUUGAAAGGGAAGCGCUUGCGAUCAGACUCGCUCGCGGGGUUCAGCCGGCAUUCGUGCCGGUGUACUUCCCCGCGGGCGGGCCAGCGUCGGUUUGGGCGGUCGGUCAAAGGCCCUCGGAAGGUAACGCCCCCUCGGGGGCGUCUUAUAGCCGAGGGUGCAAUGCGACCUGCCUGGACCGAGGAACGCGCUUCGGCUCGGACGCUGGCAUAAUGGUCGUAAGCGACCCGUCUUGAAACACGGACCAAGGAGUCUAACAUCUACGCGAGUGUUCGGGUGUCAAACCCGUGCGCGCAGUGAAAGCGAACGGAGGUGGGAACCCUUUUGGGUGCACCAUCGACCGAUCCUGAUGUCUUCGGAUGGAUUUGAGUAAGAGCGUAGCUGUUGGGACCCGAAAGAUGGUGAACUAUGCCUGAAUAGGGCGAAGCCAGAGGAAACUCUGGUGGAGGCUCGUAGCGGUUCUGACGUGCAAAUCGAUCGUCGAAUU